UACGUAGGUGGCAAGCGUUGUCCGGAUUUACUGGGCGUAAAGAGCGCGCAGGCGGUCGUCCAAGUCGCGUGUGAAAGCCCCCGGCUCAACUGGGGAGGGUCACGCGAUACUGAUCGACUCGAAGGCAGGAGAGGGUAGUGGAAUUCCCGGUGUAGUGGUGAAAUGCGUAGAUAUCGGGAGGAACACCAGUGGCGAAGGCGACUGCCUGGCCUGUUCUUGACGCUGAGGCGCGAAAGCUAGGGGAGCAAGCGGG
RNAcentral lists this ribosomal RNA (253 nucleotides) under uncultured bacterium. Its description in RNAcentral is "partial 16S ribosomal RNA". It matches the Rfam family "Bacterial small subunit ribosomal RNA", at positions 524 to 776 of the family's 1533-position model. The record is from RNAcentral.